This 1918-nucleotide long non-coding RNA is filed under the name Triticum aestivum (bread wheat). RNAcentral describes it as "long non-coding RNA (TAES_LNC013944)". Lineage: Eukaryota; Viridiplantae; Streptophyta; Magnoliopsida; Poales; Poaceae. The record is from RNAcentral.
AACAAAAGUUACGGUGCGAUGCCGCUUGGCGAAGACGGCGUGGUGAUCGGCGCUGCGACAGCGUCGUCCACGUCAAGAGGUGGCCGCUGCGUGCGGCAAGAGUACAUGGUGAUGGACGCGGGCGCUGCGAUGACGUCGGUCCAGGCAAGGUGUGCAGCGCCGCGAUUGUGUCGUCAAGUGGCAGCGGGUGAACCGCGUGAAGAUUGGAGAAUCAAGAUUAGGAGGGAAAAUGUUAGGUUUAAUCUUGAUUCAUGUAUCUGCAUAUUUAGUUUGCUUUUGUUAUGUAUGUAGGAUAGGUUAGAGAGUAGCUAGUCCGGUGAAGCUUCAGCAGAGACGAGUGGAGAAGGCGAGAUGCCAAGGGGUCGUGUGAUACGACGACGAUGGCGAGAUGCCGAUGGUGGCGUGAGGCUGCAGUGUUGCGCGAGGCAGCGUGGCCGUGUGAUGCGGCAAGUGCGACCAAGGCUGGAGCGUGGGACUCUAUGAUGCAUGUUGAGUUGGCCUAGUCCUUUGGCCGUUAAGAGGAGGUUGAGCAAGGGCCGGGCAUAGGCGUGCAUGUAGUAGUGAUUAGGCUGCAUGCAUGAGUUUGUUAGCCGGUGCUGCAGGUCCUGCGGAUAUUCAACGAAAGUUGGGGUCGUCCGUGCAGUACUGGCCGUAGGAAAAGGUCAUGUGUUAGUGGCCUGGGUUAGUGCGUGAGUGCAUGGGUUAGUGGGUUAGUGUAGCCGGGUGUGGCGGCUGGCUUGGCAGGUCGGUCAAUCAUUUGUGUAUAUAAGCACUGCUUUGAGUUAAUGAAAGAGUGGAAGAGGCCGUGAGGGCUGGGCAAAAACAAUGUAGCACAUUUGUGUCACCAAGGAGGAAAGCUCUCGGCAAAGCUGGUGCUGGCUUCUUCCUUGGCGUGUGUGUGUGUGUUCUUGUGUGAGACAAAAGAGAGAUAGAAAGUUGUGCGAGGCAACUCGAGGUAGAAGAAGAAGUGGCGCUGCGAGAGGGCGGCGCCAGCAAUUGGCAUCAGAGCCUUGUUGAUCCGUGGCGGCGACGACGGUGCCGGCGGCUAUGGUGGCCGGCGUGGCGCUGGGCGCGAGGUGAUGGCUGGCAGCGGCGCGAUGCCGCGGGCGGCCGGUUGCGGUGCGAUGCCGCGAGAUGAAGGUGGUGCGAUGAUCGGCGUCGCGAGGACGUCAUCCACGACAAGAUGGUCCGUGGUGACCGGCGCUGCAACGGCGUCGGUUGUGGCGCGACGGACUUCAUGCGAGAUGGAGGCCGACGACGCAAGAAGGAGGAUGGUGGCCAUGCGGUGCCGCUAUGUGAAGAUGGCGGUGCGAAGCUGCCACAACAAGAGUCGGCGUGAUGCCGACGACGAUGGUGUGAUGCCAUCGUCAUCAUGGAAAGUUGGUGUGAAGCCAACAAAAGUUACGGUGCGAUGCCGCUUGGCGAAGACGGCGUGGUGAUCGGCGCUGCGACAGCGUCGUCCACGUCAAGAGGUGGCCGCUGCGUGCGGCAAGAGUACAUGGUGAUGGACGCGGGCGCUGCGAUGACGUCGGUCCAGGCAAGGUGUGCAGCGCCGCGAUUGUGUCGUCAAGUGGCAGCGGGUGAACCGCGUGAAGAUUGGAGAAUCAAGAUUAGGAGGGAAAAUGUUAGGUUUAAUCUUGAUUCAUGUAUCUGCAUAUUUAGUUUGCUUUUGUUAUGUAUGUAGGAUAGGUUAGAGAGUAGCUAGUCCGGUGAAGCUUCAGCAGAGACGAGUGGAGAAGGCGAGAUGCCAAGGGGUCGUGUGAUACGACGACGAUGGCGAGAUGCCGAUGGUGGCGUGAGGCUGCAGUGUUGCGCGAGGCAGCGUGGCCGUGUGAUGCGGCAAGUGCGACCAAGGCUGGAGCGUGGGACUCUAUGAUGCAUGUUGAGUUGGCCUAGUCCUUUGGCCGUUAAGAGGAGG